This 497-nucleotide ribosomal RNA is filed under the name uncultured bacterium. Its description in RNAcentral is "partial 16S ribosomal RNA". It matches the Rfam family "Bacterial small subunit ribosomal RNA", at positions 28 to 507 of the family's 1533-position model. The record is from RNAcentral.
GAUGAACGCUGGCGGCGUGCCUAAUACAUGCAAGUCGAGCGAACGGACGCGAAGCUUGCUUCCCUGAUGUUAGCGGCGGACGGGUGAGUAACACGUGGAUAACCUACCUAUAAGACUGGGAUAACUUCGGGAAACCGUAGCUAAUACCGGAUAAUAUUUUGAACCGCAUGGUUCAAAAGUGAAAGACGGUCUUGCUGUCACUUAUAGAUGGAUCCGCGCUGCAUUAGCUAGUUGGUAAGGUAACGGCUUACCAAGGCAACGAUGCAUAGCCGACCUGAGAGGGUGAUCGGCCACACUGGAACCGAGACACGGUCCAGACUCCUACGGGAGGCAGCAGUAGGGAAUCUUCCGCAAUGGGCGAAAGCCUGACGGAGCAACGCCGCGUGAGUGAUGAAGGUCUUCGGAUCGUAAAACUCUGUUAUUAGGGAAGAACAUAUGUGUAAGUAACUGUGCACAUCUUGACGGUACCUAAUCAGAAAGCCACGGCUAACUACGUG